UACGGAGGGUGCAAACGUUGCUCGGAAUCACUGGGCGUAAAGCGCACGUAGGCGGCCGUGUAAGUUGGAUGUGAAAGCCCUGGGCUCAACCCAGGAAGUGCAUCCAAAACUGCAUGGCUUGAGUGCCGGAGGGGCUCAGAGAAUUCCCGGUGUAGAGGUGAAAUUCGUAGAUAUCGGGAGGAAUACCAGUGGCGAAGGCGCUGAGCUGGACGGUAACUGACGCUGAGGUGCGAAAGCGUGGGUAGCAAACAGG
Molecule: unclassified non-coding RNA, 253 nt
Filed under: uncultured Nannocystaceae bacterium
Lineage: Bacteria; Pseudomonadati; Myxococcota; Nannocystales; Nannocystaceae
Description: contains 16S-23S intergenic spacer region
Rfam family: Bacterial small subunit ribosomal RNA
Source: RNAcentral